This 547-nucleotide long non-coding RNA is filed under the name Musa acuminata (dwarf banana). RNAcentral's name for it is "long non-coding RNA (MACU_LNC004818)". Lineage: Eukaryota; Viridiplantae; Streptophyta; Magnoliopsida; Zingiberales; Musaceae. The record is from RNAcentral.
UAAAAAGACGGAACAACACGGAGCAUUACUACAAGUCUACAAGACUGCUUGAAGGUUGAAACAUGUGAGAAUCCUUCAUUGUGAGGCACUUAGAAGGGAUGUUUUUAGAAACUUGAUGCUGCAAAUGUUGGAGUUCAAUGAAAUACAAGCAAGCUUUACAGGGAGCUCCCAGCAGCAUAUCAAGUACAGAGGACACGAGGGGGUUCCAAAGCAGGGAUGUGAAGCCCCUCUUCCACAUCCUGUUUUCGUCGACAGUAAGUUCCUCCUGACAUCCAUGUUCUAAGAAGUUUCAUGCAAGCAUGGAAACUUGGCACAAAGCGAAUGAAGGGAUCCAAGUGCCUUUGGGCCUACCUUAACAAAAAGGUGUAAGACAUGAAAGUUUUCACAUGUCGAUAGGACACAAGAGUACAAACUAACUGAAGGGUGCUAUGCUUCUUCAGCCCUUCAGGGCCGAAGCACAACUGGAGUCUGAGGCUUCAUGUGUUGGAGAAACAACACAAUGGUGCAUACCAACCCGAUGAUGUUUCUUCUCAAGGCCUACCUCCAG